This 1291-nucleotide ribosomal RNA is filed under the name Micrococcus sp. Its description in RNAcentral is "bacterial SSU rRNA". Lineage: Bacteria; Bacillati; Actinomycetota; Actinomycetes; Micrococcales; Micrococcaceae. The record is from RNAcentral.
CUGCCCUUAACUCUGGGAUAAGCCUGGGAAACUGGGUCUAAUACCGGAUAGGAGCGUCCACCGCAUGGUGGGUGUUGGAAAGAUUUUCGGUUUUGGAUGGACUCGCGGCCUAUCAGCUUGUUGGUGAGGUAAUGGCUCACCAAGGCGACGACGGGUAGCCGGCCUGAGAGGGUGACCGGCCACACUGGGACUGAGACACGGCCCAGACUCCUACGGGAGGCAGCAGUGGGGAAUAUUGCACAAUGGGCGCAAGCCUGAUGCAGCGACGCCGCGUGAGGGAUGACGGCCUUCGGGUUGUAAACCUCUUUCAGUAGGGAAGAAGAAAUGACGGUACCUGCAGAAGAAGCACCGGCUAACUACGUGCCAGCAGCCGCGGUAAUACGUAGGGUGCGAGCGUUAUCCGGAAUUAUUGGGCGUAAAGAGCUCGUAGGCGGUUUGUCGCGUCUGUCGUGAAAGUCCGGGGCUUAACCCCGGAUCUGCGGUGGGUACGGGCAGACUAGAGUGCAGUAGGGGAGACUGGAAUUCCUGGUGUAGCGGUGGAAUGCGCAGAUAUCAGGAGGAACACCGAUGGCGAAGGCAGGUCUCUGGGCUGUAACUGACGCUGAGGAGCGAAAGCAUGGGGAGCGAACAGGAUUAGAUACCCUGGUAGUCCAUGCCGUAAACGUUGGGCACUAGGUGUGGGGACCUUCCACGGUUUCGCGCCGCAGCUAACGCAUUAAGUGCCCCGCCUGGGGAGUACGGCCGCAAGGCUAAAACUCAAAGGAAUUGACGGGGGCCCGCACAAGCGGCGGAGCAUGCGGAUUAAUUCGAUGCAACGCGAAGAACCUUACCAAGGCUUGACAUGUCUCGAUCGCCGUAGAGAUACGGUUUCCCUUUGGGCGGGUUCACAGGUGGUGCAUGGUUGUCGUCAGCUCGUGUCGKGAGAUGUUGGGUUAAGUCCCGCAACGAGCGCAACCCUCGUUCCAUGUUGCCAGCACUNNUGUGGGGACUCAUGGGAGACUGCCGGGGUCAACUCGGAGGAAGGUGAGGACGACGUCAAAUCAUCAUGCCCCUUAUGUCUUGGGCUUCACGCAUGCUACAAUGGCCGGUACAAUGGGUUGCGAUACUGUGAGGUGGAGCUAAUCCCAAAAAGCCGGUCUCAGUUCGGAUUGGGGUCUGCAACUCGACCCCAUGAAGUCGGAGUCGCUAGUAAUCGCAGAUCAGCACGCUGCGGUGAAUACGUUCCCGGGCCUUGUACACACCGCCCGUCAAGUCACGAAAGUUGGUAACACCCGAAGCCGGUGGCCUAACC